Molecule: transfer RNA, 69 nt
Filed under: uncultured Treponema sp.
Lineage: Bacteria; Pseudomonadati; Spirochaetota; Spirochaetia; Treponematales; Treponemataceae
Rfam family: tRNA
About the family: Transfer RNA (tRNA) molecules are approximately 80 nucleotides in length. Their secondary structure includes four short double-helical elements and three loops (D, anti-codon, and T loops).
Source: RNAcentral
GAGAAUUAGCUCAAUGGUAGAGCAGCGGACUGUUAAUCCGCCUACACAAGUUCGAUUCUUGUAUUUUCC